GUUGUGGUAGCUCAGUCGGGUAAGCGCCCGCUUCUCACGCAAGAGAUGCGGGUUCGAUCCCGGCGCGGCGCUGACA
RNAcentral lists this transfer RNA (76 nucleotides) under Plutella xylostella (diamondback moth). RNAcentral describes it as "tRNA-Glu". Lineage: Eukaryota; Metazoa; Arthropoda; Insecta; Lepidoptera; Plutellidae. The record is from RNAcentral.